GAAGACUUGCACUCUGAUUGAUGUUACAGAAAUAGUGAGGUUAUGCCACAAUGCUGAUAGACUUGGUACUUGUAGGAUGGAGAGGAGAAAACUGAAAAGGAUGUUGAUAUGAGGAAUCCAAGGAAGUGGAAGAGGAAGAAAGUUCUGAUGAUGGUGAUAAUUAGAAUAUCAAGUUUGACGACGAUGAUGAUUGGAACCAAGAGGAGGAAGUACCUGCCGCUAAAACCCACCAAAGAAUUAGCAAGAAAAUUGAUGGUGGGAGCUAGCAAUGCCGGCAGUGCCUCCUUUAGGAUUACAAAAUCGUUAAUCCUAUCUUCGCUUGCAUGUGACUGAUGGUGAUGCUACACAAGUACUGAAGGCAGUGCCCUC
Molecule: long non-coding RNA, 369 nt
Organism: Triticum aestivum (bread wheat)
Lineage: Eukaryota; Viridiplantae; Streptophyta; Magnoliopsida; Poales; Poaceae
Exons: 3
Source: RefSeq, a predicted model, not a curated record